Molecule: long non-coding RNA, 1626 nt
Filed under: Homo sapiens (human)
Lineage: Eukaryota; Metazoa; Chordata; Mammalia; Primates; Hominidae
Description: novel transcript
Source: RNAcentral
GAUUUCCUGGGGUCUAUGCCGGGCUGGAAGGCUGGCCAUCUUAAGGCUGCAUUUGUUCCCGAACCUAAGGACCAUGGGAGCCACGCAGCCAGAGGGGGUGUGAUCAGAUGUGUGUUCUGGUUGGAUGGCUCUUGUGGCUGUGUGCAGAAUGAAAGGAGGAGUUGGACUUGGCCAUUAAGUCCACGAUGGCAGAGGAAGCAGGUGCCAUGGGAGAAGGACCUUGGAUACAUGCCCAGGAAGGUGAGUAGGGGUCUGCCAGAGACCAGGGCCUGAAACGGCUCUGCUCUCUGUUCUUUUUUUUUUUUUUUUUUGAGACUUGAGUCUUGCUCUGUCGCCCAGGCUGGAGUGCAGUGGCGCCAUCUCGGCUCACUGCAAACCCCGCCUCCCGGGUUCACGCCAUUGUCCUGCUUCAGCCUCCUGAGUAGCUGGGACUACAGGCGCCCACCACCACGCCUGGCUAAUUUUUUGUAUUUUUAGUAGAGACGGGGGUUUCACCGUGUUAGCCAGGAUGGUCUCGAUCUCCUGACCUCGUGAUCUGCCCGCCUUGGUCUCCCAAAGUGCUGGGAUUACAGGCAUGAGCCACUGCGCCCGGCCUGCUCUCUGUUCUUAAGCUUGUAAAUAACAAAACCAGGAGAUGUGGGCUGAACGGUUUAGUGUAGUGAUCAACAGCAGCAUAAUCGCGGUGCCCAAGUACUGCUAAGUGCUAAGCAUGGAGGUAAGGUCAGUGAUUAGAAUGCGUUUUAUAGUCCAAGCUGGCGUGGAGGAGCCUUGCAUCAUCUUUGUCCCCCGACCCACAUAGCUUCAUUUGGCUGGUACAGCUGCUGGUGCUCCAUGCUGGCAGGAAUAGAAUUAUUAUGGGGCCUCAGCAGGGUGGGCGCUGAAGAAGAAAUUGGGGGCUUUGGGCAGAUUGAGUCACAGUAAAGCUAUUGAUCUUUGAGCACAGACUGUGCUACAUUUUCAUGAUUUCAGUGAAUCCUCACAACCACGGGCAGCGCACAGAUGAGCAAACAGGAUCAGGACAAUGAAGUGUUUAUAGCCAAGGGAUUGAGGCCUCUCCUUGCACUGGCUUCGCUGGUGUUUCCUGGGGUGAGAGGCCGGCUGGAAAAGGAGGCAGCAGGCCUUGAAGUGGCAGAGAAGGCUCCAUCAUCAGAUGCUAAAACUGCCAGUUUCAACUUUUCCUGGAGAUGGAGUUGUUUUCAAUAAUGGAGUGAACUGGAUUUCCUGAACAAGCCUCCCAGUGAAGAGGAAGCACAGCACCCACUGGAGCUUGUCAGGGGAGUAAUUCCAACCUCUUAGCCAAGACCAGAGCUAAAAGGGCACCUUCAUCACACCGCCGACGUUGACCCCAGGCUGACAAAUGUGACCUGCUUCCGUUGGUCUUUGAAUCCUCAUUUCUAUUUGCUUUUCAACUUUAUUGUAUAUAUCUUUUAUGUAACUUACUUCAAGUUAUUUUGUAGGGAAAUGUGUAAAAAACCCCUGCUUUUUGGGAUCAUGAAAAUAUUUCAAAGUUAGAUUAUGGUGAUGGUUGCCCAACUUUGUAAAUAUACUAAAGAUCGUUCAAUGGUACGCUUUAAACGGAUGAACUUAAUGGUAUAUAAAUUAUCUCAAUAAAACGAUUUGAAAAAA